This is a non-coding RNA of Acanthosepion pharaonis, 98 nucleotides long. Lineage: Eukaryota; Metazoa; Mollusca; Cephalopoda; Sepiida; Sepiidae. The record is from the annotation of a GenBank genome assembly.
GUUGAAACACCGGUUCUUGUAUGAACACCGAAGUUAAGCAAAAUCGAGCCUAGCCAGUACCCACAUGGGUGACCGUUUGAUAGUAACAGGUGCAGUAA